Molecule: ribosomal RNA, 167 nt
Filed under: uncultured bacterium
Lineage: Bacteria
Description: partial 16S ribosomal RNA
Rfam family: Bacterial small subunit ribosomal RNA
Source: RNAcentral
GCUAGUAAUCGCGGAUCAGAAUGCCGCGGUGAAUACGUUCCCGGGUCUUGUACACACCGCCCGUCACACCAUGGGAGUCGGAAAUGCCCGAAGUCAGUGACCCAACCAUCCGGAGGGAGCUGCCGAAGGCAGGUCCGGUAACUGGGGUGAAGUCGUAACAAGGUAUC